AGAGCCCAUGUCCAAAACAAAAGGGCAAAGAUCAUCUCAAAUUUUCUCUAUUAUACCGCUGCUGGUUUAUUACAGAUUAUUAUAAUUUAAUUUAUCAAAGAUUUCUGCUUCUGGUGGCCAAUUUUUUUCUAUGUAUGUGCCUUUGUUUAUUCCUUUUACACUUUCACUAAUUAUUUAUCAUUGUUUUCUGAUGAAUUCUGUUUAGAUAUGUGUAGUUUUUUCAAGUUUCUUGAUUGUUUUUCUGGCUCUGAUCCUGCUAAUGAUCAUAUACUUUUCCUCCUCUCUGAUGGAAAAUUGAUGCUCAAACAUAGUUUAAUUUUUCUGCAAAAAUAAUUAUCUGUCGUGUGUGGAUGUGGUUUCUUGUUUAUGCAGUAUAAUUAAUUGUUUUCUCGGAAAGUAUUGAAUUUGGGUAAAGUUUUUGAGUUUAUUUUUUUAUUUUGAGAUUGACUUAUGGCUUUGGAAUACUUUUUCUGGAAAUUGGGUAUAAGUAUAAUUUCGGUGAAACAAAAAGAGGUAUUGUGGUAUCUUUGAUAUUAGGGAACCUUCAAAUGACUUUUGAUAUCUUUCAAGAAUCUUUCCAUUGCAAUAGAAGUAUGAAGGAAUUAUCCCAAUUCAUGAAAAGAUUUCUUACAAAGUUGUCUUUUUGGUGCAAAGUUCUAUCUAUGGAGAUUGGAGAUUCUAUAUUAUCUUAGCAUAAAUGGAUUUCUGAGUUUAUUCUCCGAAGUUAAAUGAUAGAAAGGGAAUUCUCUCCGAAGGUAUUCUGUGUAAUGUUGUUAUUGCCUUAGGUCUUCAGCGGUAACAAAUGGCAAAAAAGUGCUAGCAGAUUUUGGCAGUCUUUUUUGCCGGUUCUGCGAGUUAUUUUGUUUUGUUCGAUUAUAAAUGAAAAAGUGAAAUAUGUGUUGAUUAUUUGUUCCUGUUUGGUAAGUAUUUGUCUUAUCUGGUUUGCUAAUAAGGUAGAGUGUGGGCGCACUUCAAUGACAUGAUUCAUAAUUAUUCCAAUUAUUUGUUUGAUGCCGAGUUUUCACAUUUUAGCCAAAAAAAAAAAACACAAUUCUAGCAGGUACAUACUCACAAGAUAUUUAGCAUAUGCUUUGUUUUUUUGCCAGGAUGAUUUUUUUGUUAGCGGUCUACGUGGGUUUAUUUAGGUUGAUCAGUUAUUGCUCUGAUUUCUUUAUUGUCCUUGACUGUUUCCGAAAAAUAAAUUCCUGUAGUUUCCAGGGUUGCAAAUUGUUUUCUUGAGUUGGCGUGUCCAAUGGAGUUAAUAGUAGGAAAAUCAUUUUCUUAACAUUAUGAGAAGACAUUGCUGAAGGUUGAUGCCGGAGUUUCUUUCGUUUUCCUAGACAAUUCUACCUCAUGAUGCCUCACUAUACUGUACCAUGAAUUGAUUCCGGAACUUUGGGCAUUUCAGUUUCCUGCAUAUUAGCGGGAGUUACACAAUAUUAUGCAUUGACCUUUUGGCGACGAUGCCUGUUAAUUUUGAGCUCAUUAAAUCUGAAGCUGUUCUCUUAUUGCCUAAAAUCAGUUUGUAGCAUUAAUUGGGAGAGGAUGCUCCUGUUUGUGUUAUUGGAAAAUGAAAUAAAAAGAACACAUAAUUGUCACCUAUCCUGUAAAUAAUGCACUGGAACUUUAUGAAGUCGAGUAGGGCAUAAUGAUAAGUGAAUUCAAUCAAUAACAGAUAGAAACAUGUAUACGUUCUUGUGUAUUGAUUACUAGGAGCAAAUUUGCUCAAAGGUUUUAGAUUCAUAUUGUGUGAAUGUGCAUUUUUUAUAUCAAAAACUGGAUAGUUCAACCUGCUAAUGAAUUUGGCAUGCAUGCUUUUAGUACUCUACUACUUGACACAUUAUCAUUCUAUAAUUUUCAUGAACUGUGAACACUGUUUCUCUGUUAUGUUGGCUGAAAGGAUGUCAAGAUCUUGAUAUACUUUCUUGUUAUUAAUGUUGUAUUUAAAAAUACACUAUUAUGUUGUGGAUUAUGAGAAUUUAAGAACUCUCAUAUAUUUCGCUAUCAUCUAAGAACACAUAUUAUAUUGGUAUACUUGUGAAAAGUUCAUAGAUCCUCACCUUCCAAGACUCAUUCUAGAUUACUUAAACAUAUGGCAGAGUAAUUAUGCAAAGUUCAAGUCCUUCUCAGGAGUUGGUUGAAUAAUCUAUCAAUUAGUUACUUUGAAUUGCUUGUGUACUAUCUUAUCAUGUGAUGGUCUGUUUCAUUAUUAGAGACCUCUUUUUUUGCAAGGAAAUCACAUCAACUAUGCUGAAAAUUCUUAUUUUACAUGUGAUUACUUAUUUUUGGCAUUUUCAUUCCAAAUGGAUUUUGUAGUGGAAUAAUAACUUCAUUGUGGAACUUGGGCUGAGGAGAGCUACGCGACAUUGAACUUUCAUGCCAUGGAGUUUAAAGGUAUAACCUGGGCUGGAAAUAUAUACCAGAAGUUUGAAGCUAUGUGUCUGGAGGUGGAAGACGUUGUGGUCCAGGUAAAGAUUCCUCUUCCCAUCAUUUUAGCUUUACUCUCUAGGCAAUCCUCUCAUGAGCCAGAGCCUAAGGCUCCUUAUUGACAGUUCAAUAGAAAAAGGCGUCUUACAUUCCAAUUGUUUUGAACUUUCCAUUCUCGAAUCGAAUUUCAUGCAACUAUUUGUGAAAUGAACUCAUGAUGUUUAAGUUUGACUUUGAAAUUAGAAGAAGCGAUGAAGAAGUGACCAGAAGCCCAUGUGUCGUACUCACAUGCUUUUGUUGGGCCCCUAUUUAGCUUAUUUCUCUCCUUUUACUGUUUGCUCUUUUUUUGGAGAUAUUAUAGUGUGUUUAAAGAGCCAAGAUAAGUUGUUGGCACGUUGCACAUGGAGACCCUCAUCACAAAUGUGGUGAAGUAUAUUUUCAUCCUUUUAAGACGAGACAUGUUCAAGCCCUAUUUUCUUGGGAAGUCAUAUGUCAGCCUAUCUGUGUUGUGUCAUGUUAGUGUCUAGUGUGCUUAUCUGUAUCCUUGCUUCGUAGAUCUUUGUUUUCCUUCUAUUAUAAGCACGAGCAUUCGAUGAAAUUUUGCUUAUUCGCAUGCAAAGUUUACAACAUGGUAUUAGCUAUACAAGACCUUCCUUUGCACUAACAGCAUCACAGUUCCAUUUUGCUAUUGUAGGUACGUUGAUAAUAUUUUAGUCUUGCCCUUCUUUCUUCUCUUGAGGAUGACAAAUGUAUUCAACUUCUGUUUUUGACUCGAUGAUCCUCAUUGUGAGGGUUCCUUUGUAUAUAUAGGGAUAAUAAGGCAUAUGACAUGGCUGAAUGUCAGCCACCAUUGUAUAUGUAUGAAAAAUGAGUAAUUCUCUACCAAUUAUACAAAGCAUCUUUUCUAAUUGCUGGCUGUAAAUUAGUUUUCCUAUCUAAUUGACAUCCCCCCUCAAAUUGAUACUGGUGAUCAAGAAGUAUCAAUUUGCCCACAAGAAAGAGAUGACGUUGUCGUGUCAUGGCUUUGGUGAACAUGUCGGCAAUCUGAAGAUCAGUAGAGAUAUGUGGAAGAGAAAUAAUANNNNNAAGCCUCUCUAAUUGAGUGAUAAUCCACUUCGACAUGCUUUGUACGUUCAUGAUAGAUUGGAUUUGCAACAAUUUGAAUAGCACUCGUGUUGUCCGCAUGAAGGGGUGUAGGAUUGGAUUGAGAAAAGCUAAGUUCAGCUAAAAGCCCACGAAGCCAAAUAAUCUCAGAACAAGUAGCGGACAUGGCACGAUAUUCAGAUUCAGUUGAAGAUUUAGACACACGAGCCUGCUUUUUACUCUUCCAGGAGAUCAAAGAAUCACCAAAAAAAUACUCCAACUCGUAACAGAACGGUGAGUAUUUGGGCAUCCAAUCCAAUCCGCAUCCCUAAAUGCAUCAAGACGAAUGGGAGAGCCAGUAGGAAAAAAAAUCCACACUGAGAAGUACCUCCGAGAUACCGAAUUAUGCGACGAACGGCCCCAAGAUGAAUAUGUCGUGGAGCUUGCAUAAAUUGACUGACUUGCUGAACUUCGAAUGAUAUAUCAGGCCUAGUGAUGGUCAAAUAGUUGAGGCUCCCAACUAAUUGACGAAAGAUAGUAGGAUUGGGAAGGAGGUUACCCUCCUCACUACGAUAUUUAACAUUGACUUCUAGAGGAGUAUUGACAAAUGAAGAAUCUUGAAAACCAUCCAAAGUAAUCAAGUCCUGGAUGUAUUUGUGUUGGUUCGAGGAUAUACCUGUAGAAUCAAUAUGUACUUCCAACCCCAAAAAAUAUGUAAGUGGACCAAGAUCCUUCAUGUGAAAGGAAGCCUGUAGAUGCUGCUGGAGUUGAGUGAUCGACCUAGAAUCCGUGCCAGCGAUAACAAUAUCAUCCACAUACACAAGUAAAAGAACAACACGAGUAGAUGUCUUGCAAAAAAAUAAGGGGGAGUCAUAUUGGCUCUGGAUAAAAGAAAGUUGUAACAAAGUAGAUCGAAACUUUUCAAACCAUGCUCGAGGAGCUUGUUUCAACCCAUAAAGAAACUUCUUCAACUUACGUACUUGUGAAGAAGAAGAAGAAAGACCCGGAGGAGGUGUCAUGUAAAUUUCUUCCUUGAGAUCAUCAUGAAGGAAAGCAUUUUUUUACGUCCAUUUGGUGAAGAGGCCACAUGUGAGAGGCAGCAAUAGAAAGAAUAGUGCGUGUCGUAGUCAUUUUUGCCAUUGGAGCAAAUAUCUCAUCAUAAUCUACUCCAUAUUCCUGCCUAUUUCCAAGAGCAACUAGGUGAGCUUUAUAACGAUCCAGAGUUCCAUAAGAGCAAGCUUAAUAGAAUAGACCCACUUGCAACCAAUAGCCUUGACAUUAGGUGGACAAUGAACAAUAUCCCAAGUAUGAUUAUCCUGAAGCGUCCAAAGUUCUUCAUCCAUAGUCUUCCGCCAACAUUUAUGUUUAGCUGCUUCUGAAUAACUAGGUAUAGAUGUCAAUGUAGUGGCAAAUGAAUGAAAAGAACCAUAUCUAUCAGGCGGUCGAGAAAUAAGGGUAGAUCGUUGAGGACCCGGAUUAGGAGGUACAUCAGUAUUUGAUACCAACUCAGGCUUAGAAGAGAGUGGCUGGACAAGAUCAGAUGUGAGGUCAACUUUAGGAAGAGGCCUAUUUGGUCGACGUCUCUCAUAUAUGAGUCCAGGCUUGAAUCUUUCAAGAUGAGAAGUCAAGUCAUCAAAACAUGGAAGAAUACUAAUUUCAGGCAAAUGUUGAACAUGAGUAGGAAAGAAAGAUUGUUGCUCAAAGAAAACAACAUUACGAGAAAUACAAAAUCUGUUAGAACAUGGAUCAUAGCAAACAUAACCUUUGUGCGAAACACUAUAUCCCAUAAAGGCGCACUUAACAGAUUGUGCAGAAAGUUUGUGUCGUUCAUGAGAAUGUAAAUGAACAAAACAAAUGCAUCCAAAAGUAUGCAAGUCAUGAUAAGUAGGAUGUUGAUUAUGAAGGCAAUAAUACGAAGAUUCAAAGUGUAAAACUUGGGAAGGCAAUCUAUUGAUUAAAUAAACUACAAUGGACACUGCUUCAACCCAGAAUUUUGAAGGAGCAUAGGAAUCAAGUAAUAAUGUACGAGCAACAUCCAAUAGAUGACAGUUUUUCCGUUCUGCCACCCCUUUUUGUUGAGGAGUAUAAGGGCAUGGUCGUUGAGCCAAAAUCCCUUUUUGUUUUAAGAAAUCACAAAACUCAUGAGACAUAUAUUCUCCUCCUAAAUCAGAUCGUAAAAUUCUAAUACUAGUAGAGAAUUGGGUCUCAACAUAUGUCACAAAAGUCUUAAAAACUGAAAGUACGUUAGAUUUAAAAUGGAGAAAAUAGAUUCAUGUGUAUCGGCUAUAAUCAUCAAUAAAAGUCACGAAAUAUUUAUACUGGGCAUGAGAGGUGACAGGCAAAAUGCCCCAAAUAUUACUAUGCACAAUAUCAAAGCUUUUUUUGGCAUGACCACUGUGAGAAAGAAAAGGAAGAAUAUUACUCUUUCCCGAUUUGCAUGUAGAACAAUCAAAGCACAAAUUAUGAGAAGGAUUGGUUUUAUUCCCCAACAAACCAGAAUUUAACAAAUAAGAUAGGAUAAUGGAGUUUGGAUGGCCCAAACGUUUGUACCAAACAUCACUUUUAUUGUUAACGGUUAUACAGGCCAAAGAUAAACAACUAGGAAUAGAAAAAUGUAAUGAAAACAAUCGUCCAAUUUUAGGCCCCUUCAUGAGUAUCUUUCCCGACACUUGAUCCUGCACAAGAACACCAUCACAAGAGAAAUGGACAUCAUAGUUAUCAACUGAUUGACCAACUGAAAUAAGAUUUGUAGAUAAACCAGGAGAUAUAAAAAUGUCUCGAAAAGUAGAAUUAAUGUUACCAACAACAUCAAUAGUUAAAUGACUCCCAUUAGCUAUUUGAAUAUGAGAUGAACCUUGAUAUGGGCGAAUAUCACAAAGACCAUCGGAGGAACUAGUCAUAUGAUUUGAGGCACCUGAAUCAACUAGCCAAGAUUGAGGUGAAGUAUUAUGUUUACCUUGAAGUCCUAAAGCAGAAAAAGCUGAUGCAAUCAUUUGUUGCACCAUUUCAGGAGUAAGAAUGGGUUGCGCAACAACACCAUUUUAGGAGUAAGAAUGGGUUGCGCAGCAACAGAAGAUACCUCAGGAGCUAGUGGAUUGACAGAAACCUAAUAUGCAUUGGCUUAGCGAUCCUGACGUCGAACAGGACAGUUUUUUAUAAUGUGUCCCGACUUCUUGCAGUAAUUGCAUGACUUCUUGGUACAAUGAAUAGCAAUAUGCUCAUAGUCUUUACAGUUGAAACAUUGAGCUUUCCGCAUGUCCCUUCCCUUGCUUUUCUCGUGAGCUGCACAGGCGACGACAUUAGAUGUCAUGUGAUGUUGAUGAAAAGUGGCAUGUGUUGUGAGACGCUGCUUUUCUCGAAGUAAAUCCCCAAAACAUACAUCCAAAGAAGGAGGUGGAUCACUAUUCAUCAAAUUGCAGCGCGUAGCCUCAAAUUCUGGUUGUAACUUCAUCAGAAAUUGAUCACGUUUGCUUUGUUCAUGAAAGCGGCUAGGGAUUCUGGUGGUACUUUAGCAUAGAUAAUAUCAGUAAAUUCACCCCAUAAAUUUUGAAUCCCGGAAAAGUAAUCUUGGAUGUUGACAUUGCCUUAAGUAUAAUUUGCCAUCCCAUAUUCCAAUUGAAAUCGUCUGGCUGUAUGGUCCUGAUUAUAAACAUUUUUCAAAUACUCCCACAUAUCUUUAGUAGUUUUAUAUGGUCUCAGAUUUAAAACAAUCAUAGGAUCAACAGACCCUAAAAUUCAUGUCAUUACUCUUGCAUCUUCCACUGUCCAUUGAGCCAAUUUAUUAGCCUCAGUAAGAAUCGGGUCACUUCCAUUAAUGUGACCCCAUAAUUCUUUUCUCAUAACAAAUAAUCGAAAUUGAAAUUCUCAUGCAGAAUAAUUUUUUCCCGUGAAUCGCACACCAAAAAAUUCAGAAAUGUUGGUUGUCAUGGUACUAACAAUUAAUUAUAUCAAUAACAAUCCCCAAAUUAAAUUUUUCCAAGACAAAUGAAUUAAUUUGGCCCAAUAAAGUUAGCGUAAUAAAUGCUGAACACUUAGCCCAAAGUCACCUCUAAAACAAAUGAAUUAAUAUGGCCCAAUUAGGUGACCUAAUAAACGCUGAUAUUGGCCCAAAUCAACACACUUAGCCCAAGACAAAUUCACGUUAACUCACCAGUCACCGGAAUCACGUCGAACCUACACAGAGGACAUUGACCAAUCACCGGAAUCACAUCGAACCCACACACAGAGGACGCUGAAAUCGUGUCGAUUGCACUCAGCUGCCGGAUGAGAAGCUGGGUCGCUCACCCAAGAGACGCCGAAAAGGAGACUCCCAAAAUCACGUCAAGCCUACACGCAGAACGUUGGAAUCGCGUUGAUUGCACACCAAGAGACGCCGUAAGGAACCCGCGUCACUACACAUGCUAAAAAUUUCUCACAGAGACACCGGAGAUUCUCUGUAAUCACCCACAAUCAAUUCCCCUAUUUUUUCUAUAGGUAUUAUGGCUCUGAUACCAUGAGAAAUGUGUUCAACUUUUGUUUUUGACUUGAUGAUCCUCAUUGUGAGGGUUCCUCUGUACAUAUAGCGAUAAUAAGGCAUAUUACACGGCCGAAUGUCAACCACCACUAUACAUGUAUGGAAAAUGAGUAAUUUUCUACCAAUUAUACAAAGCAUCUUUUCUAAUUGCUGGCUGUAAAUUAGUUUUCCUAUCUAAUUGACAGAGGAGUCAUCGCCCUCGGAGCUCGUUUGUCAAGUGUCAACCGACUCACAUUAUCCUCAUUACAAUUUAAUAUGAACUAUUAAUUUUACAUAUGAAUUUGUUUCCAAAAGAUAAUUUUAGUUUUCAUAUUUCCCAUAAUUAGUUCUUAAAAAAUUGUUUAAUUCUUCUAGGUAGCUUCAAACUGGUAGCUAAUUCCAAAGGAAGGUCUUUAUAAGUGAAUUUAUAUCUUAUGUCAUCAAAUUCUGAUUUCACCUAGAAAUGGUUGAAUUUUUGUUUUGCAUAAAACAAUUACAUCCAAGGAUUUUUUUUUUUUUUUUUUUUUUGUCACAAACUAUAUAAUAAAUUUGGACUGCUGGUUCAGAAGGAAAACCAGGAACCGCUGUAGAUACCAGUCCGGUUAUUGGCCAAACCCGGAAAAUUUAAAAAAUGCUAAAAUUACCUAAGAACCAGCUGGGUCGAUACCAAAACUGUCUGGUCACACGAAAUUUUUUUAUUUACUCAUUUUAACCAUCGGCUUGACACUUUGGCUGUUGACCCUUUACAUUUUCCGAGUCAAUGCCAGGGAUGAUUCUUAUAAAAUUGGUGAAAACCCAUUAAAAACUAUCUACAUAACCAAAUCUAAACCGCAGCAAUGGGUAUCUAUGGUUUUAUUUGUAAAAGUUCUUUAUUGAUAUAUUUCAGUCAAUAAUGCAAUUCAUCAAUUUCACUCACACUACAACAUUGUUAAUUACUCCUGUACAGGAUACUGUUAAAUAUAUGGAAAACCAGGUGCAAAAAGCCGGUGUCAGUGUUAAAAAGUUCUAUUCAGAAGUCUUGCAAGAUUUGAUUCCUUCAUCAUGUGCGAAAGUAGCUGCGGAUGACUUGUCUAUGUACCCUUAUUCUCGCACUGAUAUCAAUAGGAAGCUAAAACCAUGCUUAACAGAGAACUGGGGAGAGGUUAAGAAUAAAACAACUGAGGAUAAAGUUAUUCAUGCCAUGGACACGUGGAAAAUAUCUCCGAUAAUUGGACUUGAAGAUGUAAACCAUCUCUCACCACUAUCUUCUGGAUUUCCUGUCCAAAAUGCAUGCUCUGAGGUCUAUUCAGCAAAAGACAAAAAAAUGGGCAUCUAUAAACGUCGUCCGAUUGGCAUCAAAAGAAUUUCUGAGAAAAAUCAUUUGUCAAAGAUAUCUGAACCAAUGACUCCGGUAUCAGCUGAAAAGAACUCAAGUGACGUGGAAGCAAGUACAGAGUUAGUCUCACGGGAAAGAUGUGAUUCUGGAGAAACAGUGAAUAUGAAUACACAGAUCUUUGAUCCUCCAAUUGAAUCUGUGGCUUCUAAUACAAUCCUAUCAGUUGAUCCUGUCAGGCGAAAGGAUGACGAUGCUCAGUGCAUCUCAUCUUGUCAUGACUUGCCCUCAGAAUCUAUUGGUAUUUAUUCGUGGAUGAGUUUUAGUGUGAAUCCUUCUUUCUUUCUCUAUGUGCGGUAUGAACAUUUUGCCCUUCGAUAGGUACAUCCAUGAAUGGUGGUACAGGGCUUCAAUUAGGUUCAAAUAUUCAGAGUCAUGCAUGUAGUGCUGAAUCUGGUGGCGAGGAGGUUACAUUGUCUGAUGAAGGUAUGUGUUUUUCUUUAUUUUAUAGAUGGAUAAUAUAAAAGAGCUCUUUCAUUGUCUUUUUGAUUAAAAAAAAAAAGGAACCUAUGAGUUACUUCGGUUGUUGACAAAAUUCUUGGUUCUUUCGCGUUGCUCUAAUUAGUUACCCGUGUAGAGAAAACAAUGAAUGCAUUAAGAAUUACAUUCAAUUUUAAUGAGUUCAAUAUGGAACUUUUUGUAGGAAAUAACUGAAGGAAAGAAUUUCUUUUAUAGUGUCAACAUUGUUUCCUUCCUCAAAUGGAGUAAAAAAAAAUUGAAAACCAGUAUGCCAAAUGUUAGAAAUUUUAGGUUCCUUGUGCUCGCCACGAGACAGCUCUAAAGAUGACCAACACCGUAAUGAAUUGUAAUUCCUUGAUUACGCUUGGAGGAUGUAGUAAAGUUACAAUGGAUGCAUGAAGAAUUGUGAACAAUGAUAACGAGUCUAAUAUGGAACCUUUUUUGAACUCAAAUACUGAAGACAGAAUUUCCUUUAUAGUGUAAAUAUUGAUCCUUCCCUCAAAUGGAGUAGAAAUGGAAACCCAUUUUACAAAUGCUAUAAAUUAUAGGUUUCUAUACUUGCAUUUGACGUAUAACUGCAUAAAAAUAAUGUUAAUGAAUCUUAUUUCUUGAUUUUCCCUUUGGCAUGUUGUUCUGAAGUAAUAUCACGUGUUUUUCAAAAUAUGUGGAGGCCAUUAUCAUGCUUCCAUUCUCGUUCUCCCUUUUCUCUCUCACAUACGAACAUACAUUGACAGAGAGAGAGAGAGAGAGAGAGAGAGAGAGAGAGAGAGAGAGAGAGAACCCCAAAAGGGCUUGGAUGUACCCACGUUAACAAUCUGGUGCAGUAGGAUCUCAACCGUUUCAUUCUUUCAGCCUGAUUCUUACGAAGAUCGCAUUUUUCUUUUCCAAUUCUUUGUUGCUGUAGCCGCUAGAGUAAAUUCAUAUAACAUCGAUAUGGAGGUUGAGAAUGCAGUCCUCGUUGAGCCUGGAGUGGAUAUCAUCAAGCGAGUUACAAAUACAAAGUUGGAGGAGUCUUGCAUUUUAGUGGAAGGGAAUGAGAUUCAUGUUGUUCCACAAGGCAUAGGCAAACAUAAAUCAUACAAGGUACUCUCUCUCUCUCUCUCACACACACACCAGAUAUAAAUCUGUAUGUAUGUGUAUAUGUGUGUAUUUUGUUUCUUACCGAGUAGUUUCUCUCAGAAAAAGAUAAGCGAAGCUCUCUCAACAAAAUUGGGAUUAAGAAAGAAACAAGAGUAUGCCCAGUGCAUUCCCCAGUCUAGAUAUUUAGGUGGAACGGGAAGUACAGAGAUCGUGAUUCCUGAUCGUACCCCGGACUUUGAGGAAAAGAAAUUGCCAGCACAAGAUUUUUGCGAAUCCGACUGGGAGUUCCUGUAGAUAUUCUGCUGCAAGUGAUGCUGCUUUCCCUAGAGACAUAUAACUGGUAAUGAAGAUGCUAUCUUGAUAUGUCAACGGCAGCCAAAUGUAUCAUAGUUGAAAUCAUAUUAUAUAUGGGAUGAAAAAUUGUGUAUUAAUGCUUGAAAAGCAAUAUCCUAUGAUACACUUAAAAUCUAAGCGUUAAGUAGUUUGUGGCCGAUUUUUAGUAUUUGUAUCUUACAUAUAUGUCACUCUCCUGGAUAAGUUAUAAAUGAAAGUUCUGGUUGAUAUUAUUUUUUCUCUUCGAUUUCCCAUCUCAAUGUUUUGUAGCUUAUUUGCAAAUUACAGCUACUAUGACAGCAUUUGUAAUCAUAGUGUAAAAUAUAUCUAAAUUGUGAUUUAGAUCUUCUAA
This 11598-nucleotide long non-coding RNA is filed under the name Olea europaea subsp. europaea. The record is from RNAcentral. Lineage: Eukaryota; Viridiplantae; Streptophyta; Magnoliopsida; Lamiales; Oleaceae.